UGGUACCAUAGUUGAGCAUGGAUAUUUGUAAAGUGAUUUACUCAUGUGGGGUUUACAUGAGGGGUUUAAAAGAGCCAAAACAAUUGCAUUGUUUUGAGAAAAUGAAUGCAUCAUGAUUUCGUUAAACAUUCCUUAUGGUAUGCUUGUUCCCUUUCUUGUUCACUCACUGAGUUUAUGCUCACCGCUUUCAACUUCAUGUUUUCAGAUUACGAGGCAACUGGUAACUAGGUCGAGGUACCUUUGUAGACUCGACUAUUGGUCGGUGUCUCGGCAUUUAGUAGCUGUGCAUUCGUCAAGUUUCUCCACUAGACAUCGAGUCUUCUUUUAUUAUGAAUAGACAAACCUAAUGUGAAUUAUUAAGAUACAUGUUGUAGAUAGUGUAUGUACACUUGUUUGGUAUGCUAGUAUGAGGGGCAAUGUUCAAUAUUAUUUCGAUUUUAAGUUAUGAUAUAUGACUUAGCAGUUUAUGAUGGAAUGAUGAAUAUGUUAGAUUUAUAGGCUUGCUUGGGCUUAGUGGACUACGUCCAUUAUGUCCAUGCAUUGGUUAUGGCCCAGAAUUUAGGUCGUGACAAUGUUGGUAUCAAAGCUCUAGGUUUGUCUAGGUCCUGGACUUCCAUUUGUUGGUCUAGCGGAGUGUCGAGUUUUUAUGUGGGAACUUCGGUUAUGAAGUGUGAAUCGCAACACAUUUUAGACCAAGGGACCGCAUAGAUUCCCUAUCUUAGAAACCACCUUUUCCCUUAAGUAUGAUUAUGAAAUGUGUUUAGUAAUAGGUGUUUGCUCUUGUCUUGGUAAGAAUGCCGCCUAAGACACGAGCUGCCUCAAGACGGAUAGGGGAGCAAGAUGCUCCUACUAAAAUGGCAGAUAAGCCAUGGGCAUCCACCCUAAGGGGCUAAGGUAGACGUGGCAGGGCCACUAGGCCGAUGAGGGUGGAUACGCUUGUGGGUAGGUGAGAGGAGGGAUAGUCCUCAAGUGAUGUAGAUAGACACCCAACUUGAGGUAUUACCAUUGAGGAUUUGGCGACAGGCUUACAGGGAGUUAAUCGAGUUGUAGAGAUGAUGACGACCCAUAUGAAGGAUAUACAGAAGGUAGUAGAGGGGAGACCUACAGUGCAAGAAUCCUCUAACUCCUAAGGAUAGGCCGACCGCCAAUAUCAUGAGGUUGAGAGGGGUCACUUAGAGAUUUCUCUUCCUGGUUUUCUUAAGCUUAAGCCUCCAUCAUUUUCAAGGUCCGAUGUGUCGGAAAAGCCCCAGAUCUUUUUAGAUAAGAUGGAAAAAAUAUGUAAGGCUUUGGGAUGCUCUAGUGUCCAAUCAGUCGAGCUAGCACAUUUUAGAGUGAGGCCUAUUUUAAUGGAUAGGAUUAAAGAAACACAAGGUAAAGAUGAGUUUGUAGUUAAGGCCUUAGAGGAUCUUCAGGGAAGAAAAGGAAAAAUGUUUACCAAAGGCACAGAAGGAGUGAAGAGGUAACAUGGGAGGCCGAUAAGGAUAUGCAAACAAAGUAUCCCCACCUUCUUGUUGCAUAAAGGUAAGUCACCUUAUAGUUAAAUUUAAAUUCAAGGAUCGAAUUUCUUUAAAUGGGGGAGAAUGUGAGACCUUGACCUUUAUAGACUCGUAGAUAGAAAUAUACGCGAUAUCCCUAAGUAGGGGUAAUUUUGUCAUUUUCUCAAUAACCCAUAAAAGUAAGUUUUAAACAAUAUUAUGGCUUAAGUAGGCCUAAAGCAUAAAUGAAUGAUGAAAAUAUGGGUGAAAUGACAAGGAAAUAAAAUUUUUGAUGAUUUUCAUGUUCUAGGGGUAAAAUAGUAAUUUUACUAGUUUACGGGGGCAAAGUUAGAAUUUUGGAAUUUUACACCACCUAACACUUGUCAUACCCAUGGAUUUCAGCCAUUAACAUUUUACAUUAUGGAUAAUUAACACAUUUUAUGUGGUGGAGAGAUAUUGCUUAAUGGAUAAGUAUUACACAUUGACCAAUGGCAACAUGCCAUGUGUCAAGCUUUGAUCAUUCUAGAAUUUCCUUGUAAAAUCUAUUUAAAACUCUCUUAGUCUCACCCAUAUGGCUGGCCAAAGCAUGAAGUGAAGAGGAAAGGAAUGAACACAAAUCUUAGGUGGGAAAAUUGAAGAAAAAGUGUGGGAUUCCAAGGAAUUAAGCAAGGUAAAAUGAAAAUUCUUUAUUUUUACUUGAGAUUUACAAUGCCCAUGCUUUAUUUUCUUAUUUCUAUGGUUGAGAAACAUGAUUUCAUAGUGAAUAAGUGGUAGGCAAAAUGGGUAUGGAGAGAGAAUGAUCUUGGAUUGGUUUGAUUUUGAGGUAUGUUAGUGUUUUUAGGUGAUUAAUGAUGUGUAGCAUGAAAACAAGUGAAGAAAACCACCAAAGGUUUGGUGCCCAUCAAUAGCCGAAUUCUCUAAGUGAAUAAUGAGGAAGAAUGGGAUGUUAUUCUAGGUGAUUUGAUUAAGAAAUAAUAGUUUUUGGUGUAGGAAUUAAUGAAUAAUGGUGAGAAAAUUAAGUAGGAAAAAUCACGGAGUUAGUGUACCAUUGUUGGCCAAAGUUCCAAGAAGAAAAAUGAAGAUAAAUUUUGCCUAAUUGUGUGUUAAUUAGUUUGUGCUUGGUGAAUUGAGGGAUUGGAAAAGAAAUGGAGCAAGUUGGAGUGAAAUUGGAUGCUUUGGCCAAUUUAUCAGAUGAAAAAUCGACUUAGGCCAAUACUGGGUCUAGAUGGCUACUCGUGCAUUUUUCAUUUCAUAUCAUAUAUAUAUCGAGCCUGAAAUAGCUUAUGAUUGUUAGACAUAAUUUAAUUGGAAUAUGUGUCAUGGAUUAUGGCUAAGUGGUGAGCCAUUGGAUACAGGUAAAGGACUGUACCCGCGGACUAAAAAUAGGAGUAUUUCUACUCCUAAUACCGGUGAGUGGACUUGCAUUUCAAACUUGUUUUGGGGAAUAUGAAAGAUUCUAUCCAACUUGUCUUAAAAAAUGUACCUUGGGAACAAGCUUUUAGUAAAAUGAUUUUAUAUUAUGAAAAUGUGCUAUACAAUGGUUUAUGCGUUAUCACAAUAUGAUAAAAUGCAUGAUAUGCAUUGGAUGCUUCUUUGCAUGUUGAUGUGGAUCCCGCUAUGUGCGAGUGGAAGUGCACAUAAGCCGUUGCUGACCCGACUAUGUGCGAGUAGGGGUGCACAUAAGCCAUUGCUGACCCGGUUAUGUGCGAGUGGAACUGCACAUAAGCCAUUGGUGACCCGACUAUAUGCGAGUGGAACUGCACAUAAGCCAUUGCUGACCCGACUAUGUGCGAGUGGGAGUACGCAUAAGCCGUUGCAUAUGAGAUGGUGAUGAUGGGAGGGUGUACAUGAUGAUUGAUAUAUAUAUAUAUAUAUGUACAUGUUUAGUAUAUGGUUGUAAAUGCAAAUAUGUAAGCAUUUGAUUUGUUGAAAUUUGGGAGUUUACAUGUGUUACAUGCUGCUAUUGUUAUUUUAGCAAGAGGGCAUGUUUUAAAGGAAAAUGAGACUUUUUCCUUGAUGUUCUGACUCUCACUGCAGUAAGAAACUCUCAGGUUUGAGGGCUUGCACCAGACCUGGUUCUCGCUGCAACAAGAAUGAGGUUCGCUGUAGCGAGAAACUUUCUGUCCAUUUUGCUAACUUGUGGGUUUUUACCAUAUUUCCCAUUUCUUUGGUACCAUAGUUGAGCAUGGAUCUUGGUAAAGUGAUUUACUCAUGUGGGGUUUACAUGAAGGGUUGAAAAGAGCCAAAACAAUUGCAUUGUUUUGAGAAAAUGAAUGCAUCAUGAUUUCGUUAAACAUUCCUUAUGGUAUGCUUGUUCCUUUUCUUGUUCACUCACUGAGUUUAUGCUCACCGCUUUCCACUUCAUGUUUUCAGAUUACGAGGCAGCUGGUAACUAGGUCAAUGUACCUUUGUAGACUCGACUAUUGGUAGGUGUCUCGGCAUUUAGUAGCUGUACAUUCGUCAAGUUUCUCCUCUGGACAUCUAGUCUUCUUUUGUUAUGAAUAGACGAACCUAAUGUGAAUUAUUAAGAUACAUAUUGUAGACAGCGUAUAUACACUUGUUUGGUAUGCCAGUAUGAGGGGCAAUGUUCAAUAUUAUUUCGAUUCUAAGUUAUGAUAUAUGACU
RNAcentral lists this long non-coding RNA (4100 nucleotides) under Theobroma cacao (cacao). Its description in RNAcentral is "long non-coding RNA (TCAC_LNC003259)". Lineage: Eukaryota; Viridiplantae; Streptophyta; Magnoliopsida; Malvales; Malvaceae. The record is from RNAcentral.